AGAGUUUGAUCAUGGCUCAGAACGAACGCUGGCGGCGCGCCUAAUACAUGCAAGUCGAGCGAGAAGACGUAGCAAUACGUUUGUAAAGCGGCGAACGGGUGAGGAAUACAUGGGUAACCUACCCUCGAGUGGGGAAUAACUAACCGAAAGGUUAGCUAAUACCGCAUACGACUCCUGGUCUGCGGAUCGGGAGAGAAAGCGAUACCGUGGGUAUCGCGCUCUUGGAUGGGCUCAUGUCCUAUCAGCUAGUUGGUGAGGUAAUGGCUCACCAAGGCUUCGACGGGUAGCUGGUCUGAGAGGACGAUCAGCCACACUGGCACUGCGACACGGGCCAGACUCCUACGGGAGGCAGCAGUAAGGAAUAUUGCGCAAUGGGCGACAGCCUGACGCAGCGACGCCGCGUGGGGGAUGAAGGUCUUCGGAUUGUAAACCCCUUUCGGCAGGGAAGAUGGAGCGGGCAACCGUUCGGACGGUACCUGCAGAAGCAGCCACGGCUAACUUCGUGCCAGCAGCCGCGGUAAUACGAAGGUGGCAAGCGUUGUUCGGAUUUACUGGGCGUACAGGGAGCGUAGGCGGUUGGGUAAGCCCUCCGUGAAAUCUCCGGGCCUAACCCGGAAAGUGCGGAGGGGACUGCUUAGCUAGAGGAUGGGAGAGGAGCGCGGAAUUCCCGGUGUAGCGGUGAAAUGCGUAGAGAUCGGGAGGAAGGCCGGUGGCGAAGGC
This 720-nucleotide ribosomal RNA is filed under the name uncultured bacterium. RNAcentral describes it as "bacterial SSU rRNA". It matches the Rfam family "Bacterial small subunit ribosomal RNA", at positions 8 to 722 of the family's 1533-position model. The record is from RNAcentral.